Molecule: transfer RNA, 73 nt
Filed under: Sphaerodactylus townsendi
Lineage: Eukaryota; Metazoa; Chordata; Lepidosauria; Squamata; Sphaerodactylidae
Description: tRNA-Cys
Rfam family: tRNA
About the family: Transfer RNA (tRNA) molecules are approximately 80 nucleotides in length. Their secondary structure includes four short double-helical elements and three loops (D, anti-codon, and T loops).
Source: RNAcentral
GAGGGCUGUGGCUCAGUGGUACCGCAUCUGCUUGCAAUGCAGAAGGUCCCAGGUUCAGUCCCUGCCAUCUUCA